GGCAUUUGGUCUGAGCAAAUGACGGAUGGAGUUGACCUGACCGGAGAUCCUGAGAUGGUGAAUGGGAUGGCUGGAUGGGGCCGACGGGAAGGCCGGGUUUGGAAUGCUGAGUCUGAGAUGCCCAGGAGACACCCAGGAGUGACCCACAACUUGCUGAAUGCCUGAAUCUCAAGUCUUGGGAAAACAAUGCUUCCUCUCAAGAUCAGCUGAAUGAAAGGAGCAACUUCUAAUCUGAUCAUCAACCGAGGCAGAGGAGGUUUAUAAUGGGUAAUCAAGGUAUGAAGACGUCAUGGGAUAAUUUACAUGAUUUUUUCAUGCUCAGUCUUCACAAGCUGUGUGCACCCUCUGCUUACUCACAGCCCAUCUCGAUUCGGACCAGCCUCGGGCGCUGGGCAGCGAGGGCUCGGUUUUCUGUCUCAUGUUCUUCCCUGUGCUGGAAGGAGCCAGGGUUGCCUGUGGGCGUGCAGGGACUCGGUGCUGGCGCCUGCCUGGCGGUGGAAGGGGCUCACGGGGACCCUUGGACGCAAUCUGCUGCGUGCGGGGUUCGCCCGCCCCCGUAUGCAUUACUGGGUGGUAGGUAGCCUGUGCCAGGGUGCCGGCUGUUUUCCAGUGGCGGUAAAUAUUAACGAAGCGGUGGGAGGCAGGCCCUCUGGGAGGCCUGGGCUCUCCCCAAGGGAGGAAUGGAGAGAAUGCUGUGUACCUUAGAUAGGGCUUUCGGUCUGGCCUCUGACGCUGCUGGGCCCCGAGCUGCCGGGGAUACGCAGGCUGGCCUUCUCUUCCCAGGACCAGGAUGCUUUGCUGGGAGAGUCCCAGAACCCGCAGACCUCAGAAGUGCCACUUGCCUCUACGUGUGCAUCAGCCUCACCCCACUCCCCAGUCUCUCUCCCAAGCCACCUCUUCACUUGAAGACCUCUUCUCUCCAAAUCCACUUGCCAACAAGCCCAGCUAAGCCCGACUUAAGGGCAGAGGGAACGCAUGGAGUUCAGAUAUUUUCUUUAAAAAAAACAACAACAAACCAAUCAGCACUCCCUUAUUGAGCACUUGCUGUAUGCUGGGCCAUUAGAGAAGCUGCAUCCUUCCGCAAGGCCCACAGGACCUCAGGCUGUCAUCCCCCACCCAGGAGAGGGGCCUGAAAGUCAAACAGGUCAACGUCACAACUGGGCUACAAACCUGGGCUUUUGAUUGGACUAGUUCUAGCUGCCAGAACGUUCUCUCUGGGGAGAAGACGGCAGGAGUAUUUACUUGCAUUUGCAUAAACAAACACUGGAAGACCACAUAGGAGCGAAUGUGGUUACAUACGGGAGGGAGUGAGGAGGAAUGGAGGCGCUGGGGGUGAGAAUGCUCAAGGUAUAGCCCUGUGUAUUACCUUGAUGUUAGAACCGUUUAGAUAUAUUAUCUAAUUGUAAAAAUAAAUGGGAUGGAAUUUUAACUUCGUUUUUUUUCCCUCCUGGUAGAUAGAGGAAGAUACGUUUCUCAGAGUAGAUGAGCUUGAUGGGCAAGCUGAACAUUUUUUUUAAAGAAGAUUUUAUUUAUUUAUUUGUCAGAGAGAGAGAGAGAGAGCACAAGCAGGGGGAGCGGCAGGCAGAGGGAGAAGCAGGCUCCCCACUGAGACCGAUGGGGGGACUCGAUCCCAGGACCCUGGGAUUAUGACCUGAGCCGAAGGCAGUCGCUUAACUGACUCAGCCACCCAGGCAUCCCUGAGCUGAACAUUUUUUGGUAUCUAGAAUGUGUGUGGGCCUUA
This is a long non-coding RNA of Zalophus californianus (California sea lion), 1741 nucleotides long. RefSeq lists it as uncharacterized. The record is from RefSeq and is a predicted model, not a curated record. NCBI's taxonomy places the organism in Eukaryota, Metazoa, Chordata, Mammalia, Carnivora, Otariidae. The transcript has 3 exons.